RNAcentral lists this signal recognition particle RNA (260 nucleotides) under chicken gut metagenome. RNAcentral's name for it is "Bacterial large signal recognition particle RNA". It matches the Rfam family "Bacterial large signal recognition particle RNA". Rfam says of the family: The signal recognition particle (SRP) is a universally conserved ribonucleoprotein involved in the co-translational targeting of proteins to membranes. Archaeal SRP consists of a 7S RNA and homologues of the eukaryotic SRP19 and SRP54 proteins. In most bacteria, the SRP consists of a 4.5S RNA and the Ffh protein (a homologue of the eukaryotic SRP54 protein). The record is from RNAcentral.
GUGCUAGAUGGGGAACUAGCGGUGCCCUGUAUCUGCAAUCCGCUACAGCAGAGUCGAAUGCUCCCCUAGGUUAUCUUUUUGAAAGUCUGAGUUAAAUUGGAUUCGUUGAGAAUUAAGCUCCAUGCAUUAGAAGCCUACAAACCCCGCCAGGAUCGGAAGAUAGCAACGGUAAGUAGUAUCUUUUAAGUGAUGUGGAAUAACUUAAUUUGAGUUGAAGAUUUAUCUAUCGUUUUGGAGGGAUUUAUCGACGGGAGAUGCAC